This 72-nucleotide transfer RNA is filed under the name Heterocephalus glaber (naked mole-rat). It matches the Rfam family "tRNA". Rfam says of the family: Transfer RNA (tRNA) molecules are approximately 80 nucleotides in length. Their secondary structure includes four short double-helical elements and three loops (D, anti-codon, and T loops). Further hydrogen bonds mediate the characteristic L-shaped molecular structure. tRNAs have two regions of fundamental functional importance: the anti-codon, which is responsible for specific mRNA codon recognition, and the 3' end, to which the tRNAs corresponding amino acid is attached (by aminoacyl-tRNA synthetases). tRNAs cope with the degeneracy of the genetic code in two manners: having more than one tRNA (with a specific anti-codon) for a particular amino acid; and 'wobble' base-pairing, i.e. permitting non-standard base-pairing at the 3rd anti-codon position. Lineage: Eukaryota; Metazoa; Chordata; Mammalia; Rodentia; Bathyergidae. The record is from Rfam by way of RNAcentral.
UGGGAUGUAGCUCAGUGGCAGAGCACUUGCCUAGCAUGUUAGAGAUCUUGGGUUCAAUCCCCAGAAUUGCAA